This is a long non-coding RNA of Triticum aestivum (bread wheat), 530 nucleotides long. RefSeq lists it as uncharacterized. Lineage: Eukaryota; Viridiplantae; Streptophyta; Magnoliopsida; Poales; Poaceae. The record is from RefSeq and is a predicted model, not a curated record. The transcript is spliced from 3 exons.
CGAUCAUUAUCGCACCAUAUCGGCAACUUUGUUCAUUUCCUGAUAUCAAGUAAUUAUUUUCUUUGUCUGUCAGGGUUUGGAAAGAGUUCACCAGAAUUGCUACAGGACUGCCGAGGGAGCUGUGAUUUACACACCCGAAAUGCUUGUGACAGGAAGCCGGGAAUGAUUUUUGUCGAUACUACGUUUGCGAGUUCAUCUACAACGCGUCCUCUCAGCGGUUCUACUCUGAAAAAAAUAUAAAAUAUGGCAGAUGCGGGGUGAACUCCUACCACAUGAUCGCAUGCGAGCAACUCAAGAGGAAUUGACAGGAUUCUUUCUUGACCACGUCAUCAAUGAGAAGGGAGAAUACCUUGUGGAAUUUGAUAUAGACUUUAGAUGUUAGGGAUUGUAAGAGAUCUUAUAUUGUAUAUAUGUAGGUAGUAGCUUCAGAUAGAUAUACGAAAACUUGUUGUUCGACCAAUUUCUCGGAGAAAGAUAGGUCACUUCUCUCUGUAUAUGUUCAUAAUGAUGUUGUGUAAUUAAUGAUUCCU